This 63-nucleotide transfer RNA is filed under the name Culicoides cylindratus. Its description in RNAcentral is "tRNA-Gly". The record is from RNAcentral. Lineage: Eukaryota; Metazoa; Arthropoda; Insecta; Diptera; Ceratopogonidae.
AUUUAUAUAAUAUAAUAAGUAUAUAUGAUUUCCACUCAUAAAGUUUAACAAUUAAUAUAAAUA